GACGAACGCUGGCGGCGCGCCUAACACAUGCAAGUCGAACGGAGCUGAGAGAAGCUUGCUUUUCUUAGCUUAGUGGCGAACGGGUGAGUAACGCGUGAGUAACCUGCCCUGGAGUGGGGGACAACAGUUGGGAACGACUGCUAAUACCGCAUAAGCCCACGAUCCGGCAUCGGAUUGAGGGAAAAGGAUUUAUUCGCUUCAGGAUGGACUCGCGUCCAAUUAGCUAGUUGGUGAGGUAACGGCCCACCAAGGCGACGAUUGGUAGCCGGACUGAGAGGUUGAACGGCCACAUUGGGACUGAGACACGGCCCAGACUCCUACGGGAGGCAGCAGUGGGGGAUAUUGCACAAUGGGGGAAACCCUGAUGCAGCGACGCCGCGUGGAGGAAGAAGGUUUUCGGAUUGUAAACUCCUGUCGUUAGGGACGAUAAUGACGGUACCUAACAAGAAAGCACCGGCUAACUACGUG
Molecule: ribosomal RNA, 468 nt
Filed under: uncultured bacterium
Lineage: Bacteria
Description: partial 16S ribosomal RNA
Rfam family: Bacterial small subunit ribosomal RNA
Source: RNAcentral